This 71-nucleotide transfer RNA is filed under the name Camelus bactrianus (Bactrian camel). It matches the Rfam family "tRNA". From Rfam's summary of the family: Transfer RNA (tRNA) molecules are approximately 80 nucleotides in length. Their secondary structure includes four short double-helical elements and three loops (D, anti-codon, and T loops). RNAcentral also lists the same sequence under 2 other names. The record is from Rfam by way of RNAcentral. Lineage: Eukaryota; Metazoa; Chordata; Mammalia; Artiodactyla; Camelidae.
GGUGGUAUAGCUCAGUGGUGGAGAGCAUGCUUAGCAUACAGGAGGUCCUGGGUUCAGUCCCAGUAACUCCA